CCUACGGGAGGCAGCAGUCGAGAAUUUUUCUCAAUGGGGGAAACCCUGAAGGAGCGACGCCGCGUGGGGGAUGAAGGACUUCGGUUCGUAAACCCCUGUCACUUGGGAACAAAAGUUGCAACCCAACACGUUGCACCUGAUAGUACCAGGAGAGGAAGGCACGGCUAACUCUGUGCCAGCAGCCGCGGUAAU
RNAcentral lists this ribosomal RNA (192 nucleotides) under uncultured Verrucomicrobiales bacterium. RNAcentral's name for it is "partial 16S ribosomal RNA". It matches the Rfam family "Bacterial small subunit ribosomal RNA", at positions 338 to 524 of the family's 1533-position model. Lineage: Bacteria; Pseudomonadati; Verrucomicrobiota; Verrucomicrobiia; Verrucomicrobiales. The record is from RNAcentral.